UGGACGUUACUCGCAGAAUAAGCACCUGGCUAACUCUGUGCCAGCAGCCGCGGUAAUACAGAGGGUGCAAGCGUUAAUCGGAUUUACUGGGCGUAAAGCGCGCGUAGGUGGCCAAUUAAGUCAGAAUGUGAAAUCCCCGAGCUUAACUAGGGAAUUGCAUUCGAUACUGGUUGGCUAGAGUAUGGGAGAGGAUGGUAGAAUNCCAGGUGUAGCGGUGAAAUGCGUAGAGAUCUGGAGGAAUACCGAUGGCGAAGGCAGCCAUCUGGCCUAAUACUGACACUGAGGUGCGAAAGCAUGGGGAGCAAACAGGAUUAGAUACCCUGGUAGUCCAUGCCGUAAACGAUGUCUACUAGCCGUUGGGGCCUUUGAGGCUUUAGUGGCGCAGCUAACGCGAUAAGUAGACCGCCUGGGGAGUACGGUCGCAAGACUANNACUCAAAUGAAUUGACGGGGGCCCGCACAAGCGGUGGAGCAUGU
This 476-nucleotide ribosomal RNA is filed under the name bacterium T-1-0-11G. Its description in RNAcentral is "bacterial SSU rRNA". It matches the Rfam family "Bacterial small subunit ribosomal RNA", at positions 469 to 942 of the family's 1533-position model. The record is from RNAcentral.